RNAcentral lists this long non-coding RNA (438 nucleotides) under Pongo abelii (Sumatran orangutan). RNAcentral describes it as "lincRNA". The record is from RNAcentral. Lineage: Eukaryota; Metazoa; Chordata; Mammalia; Primates; Hominidae.
CUACAGAGGACACCAAACAAUGAGUUUUAUAAGAUUUAUCUCAAAGACACCUGAUGAGUUCACUAGGAAGAUGCUAGCAUAACCCCACUGUGCAUGUUGCAGGGCUGGGGAGGACCCAAAACACCAGAAAACUUCUCUAGGGUCACAGAACUGGUAAGAUCAAGGAGGUUUGGCCCAGCACUGUCUCCUCAAACCUAGGGCCUUAGUUCCCUCCAGGUCUUCCCAAGGUGAUGAGGGGGCAUGUUUUUUGCAUAAUUUGGAACAGUAUGAAAAUCAGACUUACAGGGUGCGAACAUUCCAGAUAUGUACAGGGGAGAAGCUGGUGAAGGCCCUGGUUCCAGCCUUUCUGGGUAGAACCAUCUCCUCCUAUGCCACCUGACUGGGCCCCUCCUGGGACUUCAUCACCGUGCUAGACAUCAUGGAGGAACUGUUUACCAG